AAUAACAAUACGGGGCUUAAUGUCUUGUAAUUGGAAUGAUGGGAAUUUAAACCUCUUCCAGAGUAUCAAUUGGAGGGCAAGUCUGGUGCCAGCAGCCGCGGUAAUUCCAGCUCCAAUAGCGUAUAUUAAAAUUGUUGCAGUUAAAAAGCUCGUAGUUGAAUUUCUGCUGCAUUGCUUUUGCUCCUUUACGAGUCUUUGCAUUGUGGCUUAUUUCGGACUUUGUUUUACAAUGUCCGGAUGUUUACUUUGAGAAAAUUAGAGUGCUCAAAGCAGGCUUUCGCCUUGAAUAGUUUAGCAUGGAAUAAUAAAGUAGGACUUUGGUUCUAUUUUGUUGGUUUUAGGUACCAAAGUAAUGGUUAAUAGGAACAGUUGGGGGCAUUCGUAUUUAA
This 389-nucleotide ribosomal RNA is filed under the name Theileria ovis. RNAcentral describes it as "SSU rRNA". It matches the Rfam family "Eukaryotic small subunit ribosomal RNA", at positions 476 to 901 of the family's 1831-position model. Lineage: Eukaryota; Apicomplexa; Aconoidasida; Piroplasmida; Theileriidae. The record is from RNAcentral.